AAUAUACAUAAAUAUGUGUUCUUUCGUGUAGGUUUGCACCAGAAUCAAGCAUCAGUUCAAUGGGAACUGGAAUGAUGAAAACACUUGUCGUGCCUCAGAGUGUGGCGCCGAAGAGAAGGACGAGCAGUCAGUGGUGUCUUCGUCUUCGCCGAUUGUGCUGUGCGUAGAUGCGGAAGCCCGGCAACCGACGACAAUAUGUUCAUGUGGCUUCAAGCAUAGGUUAUUCAUGGAGGUACAUAGUUUGAAGUCCCUUUUGUAUUAUUCUUAGGAGAAUGGAGUAAAUAAUAUGUGAUGCCUUGUUCUGUCAAUACCACUGUAAAGUUUCGGUGUUUAAUUUUCUUGGUGAUCUC
Triticum urartu is the source of this 350-nucleotide non-coding RNA. The record is from RefSeq and is a predicted model, not a curated record. NCBI's taxonomy places the organism in Eukaryota, Viridiplantae, Streptophyta, Magnoliopsida, Poales, Poaceae.